This 206-nucleotide ribosomal RNA is filed under the name uncultured bacterium. RNAcentral describes it as "partial 16S ribosomal RNA". It matches the Rfam family "Bacterial small subunit ribosomal RNA", at positions 568 to 774 of the family's 1533-position model. The record is from RNAcentral.
AGCGCAGACGGUUGAUUAAGUCUGAUGUGAAAGCCCGGAGCUCAACUCCGGAAUGGCAUUGGAAACUGGUUAACUUGAGUGCAGUAGAGGUAAGUGGAACUCCAUGUGUAGCGGUGGAAUGCGUAGAUAUAUGGAAGAACACCAGUGGCGAAGGCGGCUUACUGGACUGUAACUGACGUUGAGGCUGAAAGUAUGGGUAGCAAACA